This 693-nucleotide ribosomal RNA is filed under the name uncultured bacterium. RNAcentral's name for it is "bacterial SSU rRNA". It matches the Rfam family "Bacterial small subunit ribosomal RNA", at positions 153 to 847 of the family's 1533-position model. The record is from RNAcentral.
GAAAGGAAGAUUAAUACAAGAUGGCAUCAUGAGUCCGCAUGUUCACAUGAUUAAAGGUAUUCCGGUAGACGAUGGGGAUGCGUUCCAUUAGAUAGUAGGCGGGGUAACGGCCCACCUAGUCUUCGAUGGAUAGGGGUUCUGAGAGGAAGGUCCCCCACAUUGGAACUGAGACACGGUCCAAACUCCUACGGGAGGCAGCAGUGAGGAAUAUUGGUCAAUGGGCGAGAGCCUGAACCAGCCAAGUAGCGUGAAGGAUGACUGCCCUAUGGGUUGUAAACUUCUUUUAUAAAGGAAUAAAGUCGGGUAUGGAUACCCGUUUGCAUGUACUUUAUGAAUAAGGAUCGGCUAACUCCGUGCCAGCAGCCGCGGUAAUACGGAGGAUCCGAGCGUUAUCCGGAUUUAUUGGGUUUAAAGGGAGCGUAGAUGGAUGUUUAAGUCAGUUGUGAAAGUUUGCGGCUCAACCGUAAAAUUGCAGUUGAUACUGGAUAUCUUGAGUGCAGUUGAGGCAGGCGGAAUUCGUGGUGUAGCGGUGAAAUGCUUAGAUAUCACGAAGAACUCCGAUUGCGAAGGCAGCCUGCUAAGCUGCAACUGACAUUGAGGCUCGAAAGUGUGGGUAUCAAACAGGAUUAGAUACCCUGGUAGUCCACACGGUAAACGAUGGAUACUCGCUGUUUGCGAUAUACUGCAAGCGGC